GAUGAACGCUGGCGGCGUGCCUAAUACAUGCAAGUCGAGCGAACGGACGAGAAGCUUGCUUCUCUGAUGUUAGCGGCGGACGGGUGAGUAACACGUGGAUAACCUACCUAUAAGACUGGGAUAACUUCGGGAAACCGGAGCUAAUACCGGAUAAUAUUUUGAACCGCAUGGUUCAAAAGUGAAAGACGGUUUUGCUGUCACUUAUAGAUGGAUCCGCGCUGCAUUAGCUAGUUGGUAAGGUAACGGCUUACCAAGGCAACGAUGCAUAGCCGACCUGAGAGGGUGAUCGGCCACACUGGAACUGAGACACGGUCCAGACUCCUACGGGAGGCAGCAGUAGGGAAUCUUCCGCAAUGGGCGAAAGCCUGACGGAGCAACGCCGCGUGAGUGAUGGAGGUCUUCGGAUCGUAAAACUCUGUUAUUAGGGAAGAACAUAUGUGUAAGUAACUAUGCACAUCUUGACGGUACCUAAUCAGAAAGCCACGGCUAACUACGUG
Molecule: ribosomal RNA, 497 nt
Filed under: uncultured bacterium
Lineage: Bacteria
Description: partial 16S ribosomal RNA
Rfam family: Bacterial small subunit ribosomal RNA
Source: RNAcentral